This 253-nucleotide ribosomal RNA is filed under the name uncultured bacterium. RNAcentral describes it as "partial 16S ribosomal RNA". It matches the Rfam family "Bacterial small subunit ribosomal RNA", at positions 524 to 776 of the family's 1533-position model. The record is from RNAcentral.
UACGAAGGGGGCUAGCGUUGCCCGGAAUCACUGGGCGUAAAGCGCACGUAGGCGGAUCUUUAAGUCAGGGGUGAAAUCCUGGAGCUCAACUCCAGAACUGCCUUUGAUACUGGGGAUCUCGAGUCCGGGAGAGGUGAGUGGAACUCCGAGUGUAGAGGUGAAAUUCGUAGAUAUUCGGAAGAACACCAGUGGCGAAGGCGGCUCACUGGCCCGGUACUGACGCUGAGGUGCGAAAGCGUGGGGAGCAAACAGG